This 473-nucleotide ribosomal RNA is filed under the name Paracoccaceae bacterium. RNAcentral describes it as "Rhodobacteraceae bacterium (hot springs metagenome) partial 23S ribosomal RNA". It matches the Rfam family "Bacterial large subunit ribosomal RNA", at positions 1 to 543 of the family's 2925-position model. Lineage: Bacteria; Pseudomonadati; Pseudomonadota; Alphaproteobacteria; Rhodobacterales; Paracoccaceae. The record is from RNAcentral.
AGUUAAGUGACUAAGCGUAUACGGUGGAUGCCUAGGCGGUAGAAGGCGACGAAGGACGUAGUAACUUGCGAUAAGCCACGGGGAGUUAGUAAACAAGCUUUGAUCCGUGGAUUUCCGAAUGGGAAAACCCAUCCUUUAUGGAUAUCCCCUUGUGGGAGGCUAACCCGGAGAACUGAAACAUCUAAGUACCCGGAGGAAAAGAAAUCAACCGAGAUUCCCUAAGUAGCGGCGAGCGAACGGGGACCAGCCCUAAAGCAUUUAUUAAGAUAGCAGAACACUCUGGAAAGUGUGACGAUACAAGGUGAUAGUCCUGUAUGCGAAAUCUUAUUAAGUGUUAUUCGAGUAGGACGGAACACGUGAAAUUCUGUCUGAAUAUGGGGGGACCACCCUCCAAGGCUAAAUACUCUCUACCGACCGAUAGUGAACCAGUACCGUGAGGGAAAGGCGAAAAGAACCCCGGAAGGGGAGUGAAA